Molecule: ribosomal RNA, 485 nt
Filed under: uncultured bacterium
Lineage: Bacteria
Description: partial 16S ribosomal RNA
Rfam family: Bacterial small subunit ribosomal RNA
Source: RNAcentral
GAUGAACGCUGGCGGCGUGCUUAACACAUGCAAGUCGAACGGGAUCCAAGGGGUGCUUGCCCUCUUUGGUGAGCGUGGCGCACGGGUGAGUAACACGUGAGUAACCUGUCCUUUUCUUUGGGAUAAGCAUUCGAAAGGGUGUUUAAUACCUUAUGUUCUGUCUGCCUCGGAUGGGGUGGGUGGGAAAGGCUUUGGCCGGACUUGGGUGGGCUGGCGGUCUUUCUGCUGGUGGGUGGGACGAUGGCUAAUCAGGGCUUUGCAGGGUAGACGGUCGGUGGGGGUAGUCGGUCACAGUGGGGCUGAGGACUGGUCCAGACUCCUGCGGGAGGCAGCAGUGGGGGAUAGGGGACAAUGGGCGAAAGCCUGAUGCAGCGACGCCGCGUGGGGGAUGAAGGCCUUAGGGUUGUAAACUUCUAAUGCUCUGAACAAGGUAUGCCAGUGAGUGUGUGGAGUGUAGGGGUUGAUAAGCGCCGGCUAACUACGUG